UGCCACAGAACUUGUAGACAUUACGUUUUAAACAAGACAUUUUCUCUGUAGAAACAUAAAACUGCACAAAAAGAAACACUUUUUUUGUGACAGCUACACUGCCACCAAAAUUACAAAGGUUUAUAUUCACUCAUAUGUUAAACAAAUUAAAUUUUUGACAAUUAACCAAGUUGUCACCUCAACAUCAAAACAAUGUACAGGAAGUCCUUGAGUGACGACGCACUCGACCGACGACGUUUCGACUUUACGAUGCCCGUAGUUCGUCCGCCAUUUUGUCCCAGCACCAUAGUGUUUCUGCUUAGCUAGUGCAUAGUUGUCUGUGUUUGUGCGCCAGGAGUAUAUUUGCCUUAUUCGCCCUCCUUUUUUCACACUCUCAGCAUUAAUGCGUCUGUGUGCAAAGUCUUUUAAUGGCGUGUCUGCUACAUAUCCCCCCUUCGUUGGCUUGAUCCGGCUCGAUGGGGGAUCUCGGCGACGUCUCGUUGGACGAUGGCAGGAACACACACAACAAUGCAUUUACCAAGAAAGGAAGAUGUCUCUCCUUCAAGAAGAUGACUCAGCAUCAUCCGAUGGAAGGGCGCCUUGACCAAGGACGUGAUCGGAUGUGGUCGGGGACGUGCAAGGUGUUGGUCCAAUAUUUUGUGUUGUGUCUUGUUGUUUAGAACGUUAUGUCUUGAAAAACCCUCCUAUUUUCAAAUGUUUUGUGUUGUGUCUUGUUGCUGAGAACGUUAUGUCUUGUAAAACCCUCCUAUUUUCAAAUAAAUGCAGGAGUGACGAGAGAGAUUGUUUAGAGCGUGUUGAGAGGCUGUAAACUGAACAAUCUCCCAUACGCC
Long non-coding RNA from Phycodurus eques (leafy seadragon), 830 nucleotides. RefSeq lists it as uncharacterized. The record is from RefSeq and is a predicted model, not a curated record. The transcript has 3 exons. NCBI's taxonomy places the organism in Eukaryota, Metazoa, Chordata, Actinopteri, Syngnathiformes, Syngnathidae.